Molecule: non-coding RNA, 1276 nt
Organism: Phalacrocorax carbo (great cormorant)
Lineage: Eukaryota; Metazoa; Chordata; Aves; Suliformes; Phalacrocoracidae
Source: RefSeq, a predicted model, not a curated record
CUGCCACAGAAGGGAAGGAUGAAAGCAAGGGUCCGUGGCUGGGAAAAGAGCUGGAGGUGGAGGGAGAAAGAACAGACUGAAGCAGUGGGACGGACUCCUCUGCCACAAUAGCCACAUUCAAACAAGAGUGUGAUCUGCUGCUGGGUGAGCCAAAGCCAGAGGAGCCGGGUUCAGCCUGCCUUCAAAAGUAAGCAUGCGUUACUAGGCAUUCUGGCAGCUGCUGGGGCAUGGCUGAACCAGGGGUUCAGAUGAUGGUGCACUGAUAGACCCUGUCCAGCUCCAUCCCGCAGCCCUCACAACAAGAGCCACUCUCCCGGCUUCAAAGAUAUCUGACUCCAGCUCCAACUCGGAGCCAGCAGAGGCGUGUUCACAACAGCAUGUUUAAUCUGUGAAGAACUAAAGACUUCAAAGGCUGAUAAAUUUCUGGGCUGAUUGAAACAGCAACAAUGCAGCCACGUACCAGGCACAGCAGAAGGCUGCCCGGGGCCUGCACUGGCAGCCACUUGCCUGGUGUCAGUGUCAGGGGCAGCCAUCUGCUGUGCACUCUCCCCCACCACGCGUCAGGGCGUGCUCUAUGCGUCUCCCGUGCUUUUACCCACAGGUGAAGCCUCCGCAUGGGUUGUGCACCCUGCUCUCGACUACCCACCUUCCUCAGGGUGCGGAGGGACCAGAUAAAUCAGGGAGGGACAGGGGAGGAUACAGAGGGGCACCGGAGGCCACUUGGAGCCCACUUGUGGCCUGAAAUAAUUUGUGAGCUGGUGUGGAACAGCUCCAUCUGGUGAUUCCCCCAUACCAGCGCUCAGGGUUUCGUGCUGGUUUCAACCCAGCUUUGCCAAGGGCAGAAGGUUUGUGCGAGCAUGCCGAGCCCACACGUGUGCGCCACCGACAGCCUGUCAUCCAAACAAUCCGGGCAGGGGUCCUUAAGGACCUGCCGUGGCAACUGGUGCUGGGAUGGAGGAGCAAGGUGUCCCUGAUGCUUUUCCCCUGAGGGAGAGCUGUCCCUGCGGAGGUGUCAGCAAUCCCUGGGGCAGGCGAGGACUCUUCUUCCCAGGAUGAAUUGCAAGGACAACUCUUCUCCCUUCUUGUCCCCAAGACUCAGGGGAUGCACCCACCUUCCUCCUUGUGUGAGCGAAGAGGAGGGAAGGGCAGCUGAGGAUUAUCUGCAAUCCGGGAGCAGUUCUCACUCAAGGCACAGGAGCAGGCGGGAUUCUCCCCAGCGCCCAAAUCCUGCCAGCCCAGGGCCAGAGGCGAGGCACAAAGCUCACCUUUCGGGGGA